GCCAGGAUGGCAGAGCGGUUUAGCACCCUAGGGAAAAAAGAAAUUGCUACGCAAAAUGCGCCAGCCUUGAGAGCUGGUGUCCCUCCGGGGACGCGGGAGUUCGAAUCUCCCUCCUGGCG
Molecule: transfer RNA, 119 nt
Filed under: Microcaldota archaeon
Lineage: Archaea; Nanobdellati; Microcaldota
Description: tRNA-Ser
Rfam family: tRNA
About the family: Transfer RNA (tRNA) molecules are approximately 80 nucleotides in length. Their secondary structure includes four short double-helical elements and three loops (D, anti-codon, and T loops). Further hydrogen bonds mediate the characteristic L-shaped molecular structure. tRNAs have two regions of fundamental functional importance: the anti-codon, which is responsible for specific mRNA codon recognition, and the 3' end, to which the tRNAs corresponding amino acid is attached (by aminoacyl-tRNA synthetases). tRNAs cope with the degeneracy of the genetic code in two manners: having more than one tRNA (with a specific anti-codon) for a particular amino acid; and 'wobble' base-pairing, i.e. permitting non-standard base-pairing at the 3rd anti-codon position.
Source: RNAcentral